UGGGGAAUUUUCCGCAAUGGGCGAAAGCCUGACGGAGCAAUGCCGCGUGGAGGUGGAAGGCCUACGGGUCGUCAACUUCUUUUCUCGGAGAAGAAACAAUGACGGUAUCUGAGGAAUAAGCAUCGGCUAACUCUAUGCUAG
Molecule: ribosomal RNA, 141 nt
Filed under: uncultured bacterium
Lineage: Bacteria
Description: partial 16S rRNA
Rfam family: Bacterial small subunit ribosomal RNA
Source: RNAcentral